GACGAACGCUGGCGGCGUGCUUAACACAUGCAAGUCGAACGGAAAGGCCUCUUUCGGGGGGUACUCGAGUGGCGAACGGGUGAGUAACACGUGAGUAACCUGCCCUUGUCUUUGGGAUAACUUCAGGCAACUGGGGCUAAUACCGGAUAGGAGCUCCUGCUGCAUGGUUGGGGUUGGAAAGUUUCGGCGGUUGGGGAUGGGCUCGCGGCUUAUCCGCUUGUUGGUGGGGUAGUGGCUUACCAAGGCUUUGACGGGUAGCCGGCCUGUGAGGGUGACCGGCCACAUUGGGACUGAGAUAAGGCCCAGGCACCUACUGUAGGCAGCAGUGGGGAAUAUUGCACAAUGGGUGGAAGCCUGAUGCAGCAACGCCGUGUGCGGGAUGACGGCCUUCGGGUUGUAAACCGAUUUCGCUCAUGACGAAGCUUUGUGUGACGGUAGUGGGUAAAGAAGCACCGGCUAACUACGUG
RNAcentral lists this ribosomal RNA (467 nucleotides) under uncultured bacterium. Its description in RNAcentral is "partial 16S ribosomal RNA". It matches the Rfam family "Bacterial small subunit ribosomal RNA", at positions 28 to 507 of the family's 1533-position model. The record is from RNAcentral.